UACCAGCACCCCGAGUGGUCGGGACGAUUAUUGGGCCUAAAGCAUCCGUAGCCGGCCUUACAAGUCCUCCGUUAAAUCCAGCUGCUUAACAGAUGGGCUGCGGAGGAUACUAUAAGACUAGGAGGCAGGAGAGGCAAGCGGUACUCAGUGGGUAGGGGUAAAAAUCCGUUGAUCCAUAGAAGACCACCAGUGGCGAAGGCGGCUUGC
RNAcentral lists this ribosomal RNA (207 nucleotides) under uncultured bacterium. RNAcentral describes it as "partial 16S ribosomal RNA". It matches the Rfam family "Archaeal small subunit ribosomal RNA", at positions 474 to 680 of the family's 1478-position model. The record is from RNAcentral.